AUUGAACGCUGGUGGCAGGCCUAACACAUGCAAGUCGAGCGGAUGAAGGGAGCUUGCUCCUGGAUUCAGCGGCGGACGGGUGAGUAAUGCCUAGGAAUCUGCCUGGUAGUGGGGGAUAACGUCCGGAAACGGGCGCUAAUACCGCAUACGUCCUGAGGGAGAAAGUGGGGGAUCUUCGGACCUCACGCUAUCAGAUGAGCCUAGGUCGGAUUAGCUAGUUGGUGGGGUAAAGGCCUACCAAGGCGACGAUCCGUAACUGGUCUGAGAGGAUGAUCAGUCACACUGGAACUGAGACACGGUCCAGGCUCCUACGGGAGGCAGCAGUGGGGAAUAUUGGGCAAUGGGCGAAAGCCUGAUCCAGCCAUGCCGCGUGUGUGAAGAAGGUCUUCGGAUUGUAAAGCACUUUAAGUUGGGAGGAAGGGCAGUAAGUUAAUACCUUGCUGUUUUGACGUUACCAACAGAAUAAGCACCGGCUAACUUCGUG
This 484-nucleotide ribosomal RNA is filed under the name uncultured bacterium. RNAcentral describes it as "partial 16S ribosomal RNA". It matches the Rfam family "Bacterial small subunit ribosomal RNA", at positions 30 to 507 of the family's 1533-position model. The record is from RNAcentral.